RNAcentral lists this ribosomal RNA (301 nucleotides) under uncultured Sandona. RNAcentral's name for it is "SSU rRNA". The stretch from base 60 to 301 matches the Rfam family "Eukaryotic small subunit ribosomal RNA", at positions 702 to 955 of the family's 1831-position model. The record is from RNAcentral. Lineage: Eukaryota; Cercozoa; Glissomonadida.
GACUUCUGGUUUAAUGCACCUGGCCCGCGGCUCUUUAGGCUUGUGAGUGCCGGCGCGCGUUUACCAUCCUUCUGACCCUUAACUGGGCCGGAUUCGGGAUCCAGAUCAUUUACUUUGAAAAAAUUAGAGUGUUUAAAGCAGAUGAAUACAUUAGCAUGGAAUAAUAAUCUAGGACUUCGGUUCUAUUUUGUUGGUUUCUAGAACUGAAGUAAUGAUUGAUAGGGAUAGUUGGGGUGCUAGUAUUGGCCGGUCAGAGGUGAAAUUCUUGGAUUCGGUCAAGACUAACUUAUGCGAAAGCAUU